GCAAGUCGUACUGUCCGUUCUGCGUCAACGUGAAGAAGCUGCUGGGUCAAGUUGGUGCCAACUUCAAGGCCGUCGAGCUGGAUGUCGAAAGUGAUGGAAGUGAGAUUCAGGCAGCUCUUGCUGAGUUGACUGG
Non-coding RNA from Coffea arabica (coffee), 133 nucleotides. The record is from RefSeq and is a predicted model, not a curated record. Lineage: Eukaryota; Viridiplantae; Streptophyta; Magnoliopsida; Gentianales; Rubiaceae.